UCUAGGCUAGGACGAUGUAGAUCUAAUUGUAAAUCUAUUCAUUUAAUAACGAUUCUGUCAAUAAUUAUAGAGUCUAGAUCUAGUUUAUAUACCAAUAGCAUAGUAUAGUCCGUAUAUUAUAUAGAAGUACAAAUAGACAGAUCUGCCAUUAACAUUUUCAAGACGAAGUAUCAUGGACAGUAUUGAAGGAUUACGUACUAUAAAGGAAUACUCUAAAAUCUGCCGUUAACAUUUUGACGACGAUGAAGUAUUGUGGACUAGCUACUACACAUGAAAGAGUAGAGAGUGCAUUAAAAAAAGUGUUAAGUCUCAGGAAGUCGCAGGAUGGCUGCCUGGUCUUGUGGUUUGCGCGCUGGACUGUCGUUUGGAUUUAUCGAUGUCUCUGGUUCAAACCCUGCCCGCUCCCAUCCCCUGUCGUCAA
Molecule: long non-coding RNA, 421 nt
Organism: Biomphalaria glabrata
Lineage: Eukaryota; Metazoa; Mollusca; Gastropoda; Planorbidae
Exons: 3
Source: RefSeq, a predicted model, not a curated record